CAGUCGCCGCGGGAAAACGUAGGGUGCGAGCGUUAAUCGGAAUUACUGGGCGUAAAGCGUGCGCAGGCGGUUGUGUAAGUUAGAGGUGAAAGCCUGGUGCUCAACACCAGAACUGCCUUUAAGACUGCAUCGCUUGAAUCAUGGAGAGGCGGGUGGAAUUCCGAGUGUAGAGGUGAAAUUCGUAGAUAUUCGGAAGAACACCAGUGGCGAAGGCGGCCCGCUGGACAUGUAUUGACGCUGAGGUGCGAAAGCGUGGGGAGCAGACAGGAUUAGAUACCCCAGUAGUCCCUGUCUCUUAUAU
RNAcentral lists this ribosomal RNA (301 nucleotides) under uncultured bacterium. Its description in RNAcentral is "partial 16S ribosomal RNA". It matches the Rfam family "Bacterial small subunit ribosomal RNA", at positions 509 to 809 of the family's 1533-position model. The record is from RNAcentral.